RNAcentral lists this ribosomal RNA (775 nucleotides) under Bacillus zhangzhouensis. RNAcentral's name for it is "bacterial SSU rRNA". It matches the Rfam family "Bacterial small subunit ribosomal RNA", at positions 39 to 798 of the family's 1533-position model. The record is from RNAcentral. Lineage: Bacteria; Bacillati; Bacillota; Bacilli; Caryophanales; Bacillaceae.
ACGGCCGACGAAGCCGUAGAUGUAUCGAGCGCAUAAAGGUAGCUUGCUCCCGGAUGUUAGCGGCGGACGGGUGAGUAACACGUGGGUAACCUGCCUGUAAGACUGGGAUAACUCCGGGAAACCGGAGCUAAUACCGGAUAGUUCCUUGAACCGCAUGGUUCAAGGAUGAAAGACGGUUUCGGCUGUCACUUACAGAUGGACCCGCGGCGCAUUAGCUAGUUGGUGGGGUAAUGGCUCACCAAGGCGACGAUGCGUAGCCGACCUGAGAGGGUGAUCGGCCACACUGGGACUGAGACACGGCCCAGACUCCUACGGGAGGCAGCAGUAGGGAAUCUUCCGCAAUGGACGAAAGUCUGACGGAGCAACGCCGCGUGAGUGAUGAAGGUUUUCGGAUCGUAAAGCUCUGUUGUUAGGGAAGAACAAGUGCGAGAGUAACUGCUCGCACCUUGACGGUACCUAACCAGAAAGCCACGGCUAACUACGUGCCAGCAGCCGCGGUUAUACGUAGGUGGCCAGCGUGUCCGGGAAUUAUGGGCGCCAGGGGCCUUUGACCGGCUUCUUUAAUCUGAUGUGAAAUCCACUCGCGCAACCGGGGAGGGUCAUUGGAAACUGGGAAACUUGAGUGCAGAAGAGGAGAGUGGAAUUCCACGUGUAGCGGUGAAAUGCGUAGAGAUGUGGAGGAACACCAGUGGCGAAGGCGACUCUCUGGUCUGUAACUGACGCUGAGGAGCGAAAGCGUGGGGAGCGAACAGGAUUAGAUACCCUGGUAGUCCAC